RNAcentral lists this ribosomal RNA (736 nucleotides) under uncultured bacterium. RNAcentral's name for it is "bacterial SSU rRNA". It matches the Rfam family "Bacterial small subunit ribosomal RNA", at positions 68 to 793 of the family's 1533-position model. The record is from RNAcentral.
GGUAACAGGGAUCAGCUUGCUGAUUCGCUGACGAGUGGCGGACGGGUGAGUAAUGUCUGGGAAACUGCCUGAUGGAGGGGGAUAACUACUGGAAACGGUAGCUAAUACCGCAUAACGUCGCAAGACCAAAGAGGGGGACCUUCGGGCCUCUUGCCAUCGGAUGUGCCCAGAUGGGAUUAGCUAGUAGGUGGGGUAACGGCUCACCUAGGCGACGAUCCCUAGCUGGUCUGAGAGGAUGACCAGCCACACUGGAACUGAGACACGGUCCAGACUCCUACGGGAGGCAGCAGUGGGGAAUAUUGCACAAUGGGCGCAAGCCUGAUGCAGCCAUGCCGCGUGUAUGAAGAAGGCCUUCGGGUUGUAAAGUACUUUCAGCGGGGAGGAAGGGAGUAAAGUUAAUACCUUUGCUCAUUGACGUUACCCGCAGAAGAAGCACCGGCUAACUCCGUGCCAGCAGCCGCGGUAAUACGGAGGGUGCAAGCGUUAAUCGGAAUUACUGGGCGUAAAGCGCACGCAGGCGGUUUGUUAAGUCAGAUGUGAAAUCCCCGGGCUCAACCUGGGAACUGCAUCUGAUACUGGCAAGCUUGAGUCUCGUAGAGGGGGGUAGAAUUCCAGGUGUAGCGGUGAAAUGCGUAGAGAUCUGGAGGAAUACCGGUGGCGAAGGCGGCCCCCUGGACGAAGACUGGCGCUCAGGUGCGAAAGCGUGAGGAGCAAACAGGAUUAGAUACCCUGGUAG